Molecule: ribosomal RNA, 253 nt
Filed under: uncultured bacterium
Lineage: Bacteria
Description: partial 16S ribosomal RNA
Rfam family: Bacterial small subunit ribosomal RNA
Source: RNAcentral
UACGUAGGGGGCAAGCGUUGUCCGGAAUCAUUGGGCGUAAAGGGCGCGUAGGCGGAUAAUUAAGUCUGGUGUGAAAACCUAGGGCUCAACCCUGGGACUGCAUCGGAAACUGGUUAUCUUGAGGACAGGAGAGGAAAGUGGAAUUCCACGUGUAGCGGUGAAAUGCGUAGAUAUGUGGAGGAACACCAGUGGCGAAGGCGACUUUCUGGACUGUAACUGACGCUGAGGCGCGAAAGCGUGGGGAGCAAACAGG